CUGUAGCGUGGAUCUCGGUUUCACUGCACAUUUGUCAUCGAUUUACCGUGCGUCUCUCUCUUCAUGCUAAGGAACACGGCAUCUUACAUUCGGCAUCAGUCACCCUGGUAUCCAGGUCUGUCUCCAUUACAGCAACACGGCACUAUAAUUAGCCAGGUAUCUCCGGCAGUAAUGAUGAGUGGGAGACGAGGCUGGCAUCUACCUGCUAAGGGCUGGAGACGCCGGGCUCUGGAGCCAGAGUAGCACGCCGAGGAACCACGCCGCUCAUCAAACGGGAUAAUUAGAGUGUGUAUGGAGAUGUGAUUCCAGGUAGGAGGUGACACGGAGCACGGGAGAGGACAUGGUCUGCACACUCACCACCUUUCCUCAAACACUAAAUGGACCAGGACCGACGUCGGAGGCUGAGCAAGACAAGGGGCGACGGCAGAAGGACAAGAUAUCGCUCGGCUCCCGUGUAUUUUAUAAAAUAGACAAAAGGAGAACCAGAAAUAAUAAGAGCAAAGAAAGAUUUAGUGGCAACAUCAAAUGCCGCACAGUAAGAGCAGGACGUACAGAUAUAUAAAGGCACAACUAUCACAUCUCAAUGCACUCAAGGUGUGGUUGUUUGGUGUCUAGGACUUGGUGCAGUACGGAGACUGACGGAUGACCUCAUGCAGUAAUUCCCCAGUGGUGUGUCCUUCCCUUUGAGAGAGACAGAGGAAGAACAACAGAAAGAAAGACGUACGUACGGACAGACAGACAAACACGCUCAGGACGAUGAUGUUUAAGGUGACGGGGAUGAUGGUGGCGGCUCGUCCAUGUAAAUCCCAUAUCUGCUGUUUGCACAGCCUGAAAACCACAGCGUCCCUCCCCCAGACGGCCGCCCGACACGUCUGCGCCGGUCAGCGGGAUACAAGACGCACUCACGCGCCAUUCCAGCAAACAAACCAACAAGUGUUGCCAUAGUAAUUGCAGCGAAUGGUAGAUAAGCGCCAGGAGAAAACACGGCGUCGUGGAAGAAGACCUCUGCGCAAGCUUUACAGUCGGAAUUCCAGGCACGUGUGACAAGCACCACAUGGAUCCACCUCACAUUUGACGUGAAGACGCUAAAGCCACUGCAGGUCCUCGCCACGAAGAUCAAGCUCGGCUUGAAAGAUAUUUCUCUUUAAUAUUCUGAAACUGGGUAAUCUCACCAUGAUAAUGGUCACGGGCCAAAUCAACGAGUUCCAGUAGAGGUUAGUUCACAACUCAAUAUCUGGCUUUUUAUUUAUCCAAAAAAAAAAAAAGAAUCUUGGCUGGUGGUUUUCACACACCUCCCACAGUGCUCUUCUUCUAAACAAAUGGAUUCACACAACAUCUGCUGGGGAAAUACAUGUCUCAUUUUCAAUGUCGUAUAGUUGUCUUUUAUUAUUGUGUUGCAGAAUGCAGUAAGUACAGCUGUCUCCUUCGAUUACAAUGGUUCAAACUGUUUUACUUGCAAUCGACCUUGGUAAAAUCGGGACGGGUAAUAUGUCAUAGGUGUACUACUACAAGCAGAGGCUUCGACCGGUCAAUCAAUAAUACCAUUUUGUUGAUCCUGAUUUAAAUGCCUUUCAUAGAUGAUAGAAUGAAAGGAGGUAUAAAGUUUAUGCCUGUUCUGUUUUGACAGCAAUGUCCCGGCCGAUAAAACUGGCUUAAUCACA
Gasterosteus aculeatus aculeatus (three-spined stickleback) is the source of this 1661-nucleotide non-coding RNA. NCBI's taxonomy places the organism in Eukaryota, Metazoa, Chordata, Actinopteri, Perciformes, Gasterosteidae. The record is from RefSeq and is a predicted model, not a curated record.